GGGUCCUUUAAAUACAGUCCCGUGAGGCUGAAAAGGUACGUGAAAACUAAUGGAAGAUGUAUGUCUUUUUCUAUGGUUUAUUAUAUCCUUUUGCCUACACGGCAAAAGGAUUUUUUACGU
Regulatory RNA element from Bacillus sp. FJAT-27986, 120 nucleotides. It matches the Rfam family "PyrR binding site". From Rfam's summary of the family: This family represents the PyrR binding site and terminator structure. NCBI's taxonomy places the organism in Bacteria, Bacillati, Bacillota, Bacilli, Caryophanales, Bacillaceae. The record is from Rfam.